RNAcentral lists this long non-coding RNA (475 nucleotides) under Mus caroli (Ryukyu mouse). RNAcentral's name for it is "lncRNA (MGP_CAROLIEiJ_G0006443.1)". The record is from RNAcentral. Lineage: Eukaryota; Metazoa; Chordata; Mammalia; Rodentia; Muridae.
GCCGUUGACAGAAUGCAGGCGGGAAGCUUCAGUUUGGGUAGAGAUGUAGCAUCAAACAUUCACGGAUGUCCAGGGAGCACGGGCACACAGGCUGCUGGCCAGAGACUAUUAUGAGCACAAUACACUAGUCAUGUCGGAGAUAACAGCUUGACCUCAGCGUGGCUGCAAAAUGAAGCCACGUUUGGCUUUCCUAAGCCAUCAGGAGGCUGCUCACAGUGCUGCUGGACUCUUUAAGCCCUGAGGUCAUGUGAAAAGAAGUUUGCCCUGUGUCCUUCUGUCUCCUGUUGGCUGUCCACAAGAUGGAGAAGGCGGAAGCAACCUGAGGCGUCCUCUUUGUCUGUAAAGAUAGAGAGUCCAUUGUGGAAGGGGGAGAUACAGGAACUAUAUAGGCGAGGCCCUACCGGCCUGCAUCUCUUAUCUCCAGAAUUCUUUUACAGAAAAGAAAAAAAAUAAACUUUUAUCUGGCUUAAGCCAC